RNAcentral lists this ribosomal RNA (1020 nucleotides) under Salmonella enterica subsp. enterica serovar Typhimurium. RNAcentral describes it as "bacterial LSU rRNA". It matches the Rfam family "Bacterial large subunit ribosomal RNA", at positions 1436 to 2440 of the family's 2925-position model. The record is from RNAcentral. Lineage: Bacteria; Pseudomonadati; Pseudomonadota; Gammaproteobacteria; Enterobacterales; Enterobacteriaceae.
UUCCCGUACUUGGUGUUACUGCGAAGGGGGGACGGAGAAGGCUAUGUUGGCCGGGCGACGGUUGUCCCGGUUUAAGCGUGUAGGUGUGUGUUCCAGGUAAAUCCGGUUCACUUUAACACUGAGGCGUGACGACGAGGCACUACGGUGCUGAAGCAACAAAUGCCCUGCUUCCAGGAAAAGCCUCUAAGCAUCAGGUAACAUCAAAUCGUACCCCAAACCGACACAGGUGGUCAGGUAGAGAAUACCAAGGCGCUUGAGAGAACUCGGGUGAAGGAACUAGGCAAAAUGGUGCCGUAACUUCGGGAGAAGGCACGCUGACACGUAGGUGAAGUGAUUUACUCAUGGAGCUGAAGUCAGUCGAAGAUACCAGCUGGCUGCAACUGUUUAUUAAAACACAGCACUGUGCAAACACGAAAGUGGACGUAUACGGUGUGACGCCUGCCCGGUGCCGGAAGGUUAAUUGAUGGGGUCAGCGCAAGCGAAGCUCCUGAUCGAAGCCCCGGUAAACGGCGGCCGUAACUAUAACGGUCCUAAGGUAGCGAAAUUCCUUGUCGGGUAAGUUCCGACCUGCACGAAUGGCGUAAUGAUGGCCAGGCUGUCUCCACCCGAGACUCAGUGAAAUUGAACUCGCUGUGAAGAUGCAGUGUACCCGCGGCAAGACGGAAAGACCCCGUGAACCUUUACUAUAGCUUGACACUGAACAUUGAGCCUUGAUGUGUAGGAUAGGUGGGAGGCUUUGAAGUGUGGACGCCAGUCUGCAUGGAGCCGACCUUGAAAUACCACCCUUUAAUGUUUGAUGUUCUAACGUGGACCCGUAAUCCGGGUUGCGGACAGUGUCUGGUGGGUAGUUUGACUGGGGCGGUCUCCUCCUAAAGAGUAACGGAGGAGCACGAAGGUUGGCUAAUCCUGGUCGGACAUCAGGAGGUUAGUGCAAUGGCAUAAGCCAGCUUGACUGCGAGCGUGACGGCGCGAGCAGGUGCGAAAGCAGGUCAUAGUGAUCCGGUGGUUCUGAAUGGAAGG